GACGAACGCUGGCGGCGUGCCUAAUACAUGCAAGUUGAACGCUAAAGCUUUAACUGGUGCUUGCACCGACCUAAGUUUUUAGUAGCGGACGGGUGAGUAACACGUGGGUAACCUACCUAUAAGACUGGGAUAACUCCGGGAAACCGGGGCUAAUACCGGAUAAUAUUUUGAACCGCAUGGUUCAAUAGUGAAAGACGGUUUCGGCUGUCACUUAUAGAUGGACCCGCGCCGUAUUAGCUAGUUGGUAAGGUAAUGGCUUACCAAGGCGACGAUACGUAGCCGACCUGAGAGGGUGAUCGGCCACACUGGAACUGAGACACGGUCCAGACUCCUACGGGAGGCAGCAGUAGGGAAUCUUCCGCAAUGGGCGAAAGCCUGACGGAGCAACGCCGCGUGAGUGAUGAAGGUCUUCGGAUCGUAAAACUCUGUUGUUAGGGAAGAACAAAUUUGUUAGUAACUGAACAAGUCUUGACGGUACCUAACCAGAAAGCCACGGCUAACUACGUGCCAGCAGCCGCAGUAAGAC
This 526-nucleotide ribosomal RNA is filed under the name uncultured bacterium. RNAcentral's name for it is "bacterial SSU rRNA". It matches the Rfam family "Bacterial small subunit ribosomal RNA", at positions 28 to 526 of the family's 1533-position model. The record is from RNAcentral.